GAGUUAGCCGGUGCUUUCUUGGGAGGUACCGUCAGAUCUUCUUCCCUCCCGACAGUGCUUUACAACCCGAGGGCCUUCAUCACACACGCGGCGUAGCUGCGUCAGGGUUUCCCCCAUUGCGCAAUAUUCCCCA
RNAcentral lists this ribosomal RNA (133 nucleotides) under uncultured bacterium. RNAcentral describes it as "partial 16S ribosomal RNA". The record is from RNAcentral.